Molecule: ribosomal RNA, 1826 nt
Filed under: Escherichia coli
Lineage: Bacteria; Pseudomonadati; Pseudomonadota; Gammaproteobacteria; Enterobacterales; Enterobacteriaceae
Description: partial 23S ribosomal RNA
Rfam family: Bacterial large subunit ribosomal RNA
Source: RNAcentral
UGUGUGUUAGUGGAAGCGUCUGGAAAGGCGCGCGAUACAGGGUGACAGCCCCGUACACAAAAAUGCACAUGCUGUGAGCUCGAUGAGUAGGGCGGGACACGUGGUAUCCUGUCUGAAUAUGGGGGGACCAUCCUCCAAGGCUAAAUACUCCUGACUGACCGAUAGUGAACCAGUACCGUGAGGGAAAGGCGAAAAGAACCCCGGCGAGGGGAGUGAAAAAGAACCUGAAACCGUGUACGUACAAGCAGUGGGAGCACAGAGCAAUCUGUGUGACUGCGUACCUUUUGUAUAAUGGGUCAGCGACUUAUAUUCUGUAGCAAGGUUAACCGAAUAGGGGAGCCGAAGGGAAACCGAGUCUUAACUGGGCGUUAAGUUGCAGGGUAUAGACCCGAAACCCGGUGAUCUAGCCAUGGGCAGGUUGAAGGUUGGGUAACACUAACUGGAGGACCGAACCGACUAAUGUUGAAAAAUUAGCGGAUGACUUGUGGCUGGGGGUGAAAGGCCAAUCAAACCGGGAGAUAGCUGGUUCUCCCCGAAAGCUAUUUAGGUAGCGCCUCGUGAAUUCAUCUCCGGGGGUAGAGCACUGUUUCGGCAAGGGGGUCAUCCCGACUUACCAACCCGAUGCAAACUGCGAAUACCGGAGAAUGUUAUCACGGGAGACACACGGCGGGUGCUAACGUCCGUCGUGAAGAGGGAAACAACCCAGACCGCCAGCUAAGGUCCCAAAGUCAUGGUUAAGUGGGAAACGAUGUGGGAAGGCCCAGACAGCCAGGAUGUUGGCUUAGAAGCAGCCAUCAUUUAAAGAAAGCGUAAUAGCUCACUGGUCGAGUCGGCCUGCGCGGAAGAUGUAACGGGGCUAAACCAUGCACCGAAGCUGCGGCAGCGACACUAUGUGUUGUUGGGUAGGGGAGCGUUCUGUAAGCCUGUGAAGGUGUGCUGUGAGGCAUGCUGGAGGUAUCAGAAGUGCGAAUGCUGACAUAAGUAACGAUAAAGCGGGUGAAAAGCCCGCUCGCCGGAAGACCAAGGGUUCCUGUCCAACGUUAAUCGGGGCAGGGUGAGUCGACCCCUAAGGCGAGGCCGAAAGGCGUAGUCGAUGGGAAACAGGUUAAUAUUCCUGUACUUGGUGUUACUGCGAAGGGGGGACGGAGAAGGCUAUGUUGGCCGGGCGACGGUUGUCCCGGUUUAAGCGUGUAGGCUGGUUUUCCAGGCAAAUCCGGAAAAUCAAGGCUGAGGCGUGAUGACGAGGCACUACGGUGCUGAAGCAACAAAUGCCCUGCUUCCAGGAAAAGCCUCUAAGCAUCAGGUAACAUCAAAUCGUACCCCAAACCGACACAGGUGGUCAGGUAGAGAAUACCAAGGCGCUUGAGAGAACUCGGGUGAAGGAACUAGGCAAAAUGGUGCCGUAACUUCGGGAGAAGGCACGCUGAUAUGUAGGUGAAGCGACUUGCUCGUGGAGCUGAAAUCAGUCGAAGAUACCAGCUGGCUGCAACUGUUUAUUAAAAACACAGCACUGUGCAAACACGAAAGUGGACGUAUACGGUGUGACGCCUGCCCGGUGCCGGAAGGUUAAUUGAUGGGGUUAGCGCAAGCGAAGCUCUUGAUCGAAGCCCCGGUAAACGGCGGCCGUAACUAUAACGGUCCUAAGGUAGCGAAAUUCCUUGUCGGGUAAGUUCCGACCUGCACGAAUGGCGUAAUGAUGGCCAGGCUGUCUCCACCCGAGACUCAGUGAAAUUGAACUCGCUGUGAAGAUGCAGUGUACCCGCGGCAAGACGGAAAGACCCCGUGAACCUUUACUAUAGCUUGACACUGAACAUUGAGCCUUGAUG